This 227-nucleotide long non-coding RNA is filed under the name Homo sapiens (human). RNAcentral describes it as "non-protein coding lnc-MBD2-4:1". The record is from RNAcentral. Lineage: Eukaryota; Metazoa; Chordata; Mammalia; Primates; Hominidae.
UGGUUGAAGGCACAGCCGUCAGAUUCCAAGAAGUUCGCUUUUAAUCCUUGCCCGCUGUUUCCAAGCAGGUGACUCUCUGGCUCUGGGGAAGUCUUUCUGUAUUUUAUUUUCCUGAUCUGUAAACUAAGGGAUGAUAUUUUCAACACCAGGUGUUGAGAGGAAUAUACAAUUAGUACAUGUAAAAUACUUGACACAGUCUCCUGUAUGAAGUAAUAAUAAACAUUGCU